This 481-nucleotide long non-coding RNA is filed under the name Sus scrofa (pig). RNAcentral describes it as "lncRNA (ENSSSCG00040013672.1)". The record is from RNAcentral. Lineage: Eukaryota; Metazoa; Chordata; Mammalia; Artiodactyla; Suidae.
CCCCGAGUCACACAGGUGCUGGCUUUGCCCCUUCCAGGUGCAAACUUCAGUUCCGGGGGCGGGGGGGAAAGCAGUGAGAGGCACCAUCGGACCACAGGCUGGGUAACGCUGCGUCUUCCUGCGGCUUUUGUUCAAAAGCAGCAGAGCAGUUGGUUUCACAUUUUAGUGGCUUCUUAUGUCUAGGGGCCUAGUCUGCACAGGAUAAAUUCCUGCCGCCUGGGUCUCUGCGCCUGAUGUGUGCCUACAUGAGUCACUCCUGUCAGAAUGACCUCGGAGCAUGAUUCAGAGGGAACUCGGAGUCCAGGAGAGCUCUUGGAAUGAGAGAUGAAUCUGUCUCCUUCGGUGUGAUGCCUGCCACGAGACAGUCUUCCUUGAAAACAAACAAACACAGAAACAAAAACUAUUGCCUGGUGGCCCUCUUCGUCUGCAUUUUUCCCCCUCCAGAGGUUGCCUAGGAGGUUUGUGUAAUUGCCUUGUGCUC